CAUCUGCUACUAGAUAUUUUACACACAAAAAUAUCCGCCAGAGAACUACGAGCAAAAUGCUUAAAACUCUAAGGACUUGGCGGUACCUCAAACCCCCCUAGAGGAGCUUGUUCUAUAAAUCGAUAAUCCACGAUUCACCUCACCAUCUUUUGCCAAUCCCGCCUAUAUACCGCCAUCUUCAGCAAACA
This 188-nucleotide ribosomal RNA is filed under the name Melanochelys trijuga. RNAcentral describes it as "partial 12S ribosomal RNA". Lineage: Eukaryota; Metazoa; Chordata; Testudines; Geoemydidae. The record is from RNAcentral.